RNAcentral lists this ribosomal RNA (370 nucleotides) under uncultured bacterium. RNAcentral's name for it is "bacterial SSU rRNA". It matches the Rfam family "Bacterial small subunit ribosomal RNA", at positions 367 to 758 of the family's 1533-position model. The record is from RNAcentral.
UGACAUGGGCGCAGCCUGACCGCCUGCCGCGUGAGUGAUGAAGGCCUUCGGGUUGUAAAGCUCUUUUGGCGGGGACGAUGAUGACGGUACCCGCAGAAUAAGCCCCGGCUAACUUCGUGCCAGCAGCCGCGGUAAGACGAAGGGGGCUAGCGUUGUUCGGAAUUACUGGGCGUAAAGCGAGUGUAGGUGGUUGUCCAAGUUGGAUGUGAAAGCCUUGAGCUCAACUCAAGAAAUGCAUUCAGGACUGGAUGGCUAGAGGACCGGAGAGGAUAGUGGAAUUCCCAGUGUAGUGGUGAAAUACGUAGAGAUUGGGAAGAACACCAGUGGCGAAGGCGGCUAUCUGGACGGUUUCUGACACUAAGACUCGAAA